Molecule: long non-coding RNA, 1337 nt
Filed under: Mus pahari (shrew mouse)
Lineage: Eukaryota; Metazoa; Chordata; Mammalia; Rodentia; Muridae
Description: predicted gene 42941 (MGP_PahariEiJ_G0032994.1)
Source: RNAcentral
AUUUUGAAGAAGUGAUUUUACAUGUUAAUACUUUCCAUGUCCCUUUUACAGCUGUCCCCAUUUAAAAGUGCCUUAAAUAGCAUGAAUUUAUAAAGGAGUUUGGCUAUUAGAAAAUGUAGAUUCCUCAACUUUACUCUCUAUAGCUGUGAAGGUACAGGCAACACACUGCCUUUGUGAUGGCUGAUAAACGUUGGACGGUAUCCAGGGAGGGCUGGCUGUGCCAAUGUCUCUUCUCCCUCUUGCAGUGGAAAAUGUGAGAAGUCUAAGAAUAACCAAAGUACGCAGACGGUGAGGCUGGGGGUUCUAACACUGCUCCUCAUGGAAGCGUAUUUCCGUGAAAUGGGACUUGCUUAAAACUGUUUUGGGUGUAUUUAAAAAGUCUGUUUAAGCUGGGCAUGGUGGUGCAUGCCUUUGAUCUCAGCACUCGGGAGGCAGGGGCCAGACUGGUCUACAAAAGGAGUCCAGGACAAUCAGGGCCUGUUACACAGAGAAAUCCUGUCUUGGAAAAAAAAAAAAAAAAUCAGUUUAAUCUGGCCACAUAUGUAAAGGCAGCUAUGGAAUGACUUUACCGUCAGAUAUGCAGAGAAAUGCGCUCCAUCCUAACUCCAGCACACAGCUCCACUCAGAGAGGCCCUUGGAGCUGUGCUGACUCCAUAGCAGAGAGAGAAUGUUAGGAAUGUUGACUGUCCUCCACUCUGCCCAACUCCUCUCUGCAGAUAAGAUGAAGAUUCAAGUGCCCUGCUUUCAAGGAAGAAGUCAUUUGUCAAGUCACAUGGUGUUGAAUAAUGUCACAAAUACCUACUUCUCCAACACCCACUAAUCUGAGCAGGCUUUCUCUUUGGAGCCUUCCAAAGUCAAGUGAAGGCUGUAUUUUAUUUGCUACUUACUAACUAUAAGUGACGCUUUGGGGUUUUACCAAGCAUUCAUUGUAAGGCAGCCUCUCCCACCCCAGCCCCUCCCCAGGAGGUGGCCUGCAGGCCCUCUCCACUGCCUGGCUUUAGAGUACCAAGUUCUGGUUUCAUAUAGACCGGCCAAGCACUCUAACAGGGUGAGAGAGUGGAACAAUCUAAAUUUAAACUAUAGAAUCAACAUUUUCUCUAGAACUCCCUCCAGUCUGGAGAGGCGUAGGUGGAUCCUGUGAAUUACGCGAUAACGCACACGCGCUCUCUGCAUCCUGCUUGUGUCAAAACAUUUCCAGGACCUUUCAUUUGGGGAGAUCUUAUUUUAGGUUACAGAAUGGGGUGGAGACUCCCUUUCUUUCAUUUUCUUUUCUUCUUUUUUGUUUUUGUAACGUAUUUAAAAAUUUUUAGGGACUUUUAGAUGUUUUGUUUCUCUCU